GAUGAACGCUAGCUACAGGCUUAACACAUGCAAGUCGAGGGGAAACGAUAUUGGAAGCUUGCUUCCGAUAGGCGUCGACCGGCGCACGGGUGAGUAACGCGUAUCCAACCUGCCCAUCACUUGGGGAUAACCUUGCGAAAGUAAGACUAAUACCCAAUGACGUCUCUAGAAGACAUCUGAAAGAGAUUAAAGAUUUAUCGGUGAUGGAUGGGGAUGCGUCUGAUUAGCUUGUUGGCGGGGUAACGGCCCCACCAAGGCGACGAUCAGUAGGGGUUCUGAGAGGAAGGUCCCCCANAUUGGAACUGAGACACGGUCCAAACUCUACGGGAGCAGCAGUGAGGAAUAUUGGUCAAUGGACGAGAGUCUGGACCAGCCAAGUAGCGU
RNAcentral lists this ribosomal RNA (384 nucleotides) under uncultured bacterium. Its description in RNAcentral is "bacterial SSU rRNA". It matches the Rfam family "Bacterial small subunit ribosomal RNA", at positions 28 to 402 of the family's 1533-position model. The record is from RNAcentral.